GACCUGGUAGCUCAGUAGGUAGAGCAUCUCCCUUUUAAGGAGAGGGUCCUGAGUUCGAGCCUCAGCCAGGUCACUA
This 76-nucleotide transfer RNA is filed under the name Flavobacteriales bacterium. Its description in RNAcentral is "tRNA-Lys". It matches the Rfam family "tRNA". Rfam says of the family: Transfer RNA (tRNA) molecules are approximately 80 nucleotides in length. Lineage: Bacteria; Pseudomonadati; Bacteroidota; Flavobacteriia; Flavobacteriales. The record is from RNAcentral.